Molecule: ribosomal RNA, 92 nt
Organism: Fukomys damarensis (Damara mole-rat)
Lineage: Eukaryota; Metazoa; Chordata; Mammalia; Rodentia; Bathyergidae
Source: Ensembl
UUCUACAGCCAUACCACCCUGAACGUGCCCGAUCUUGUCUGAUCUCAGAAGCUAAGCAGGGUCGGCCUUGGUUAGUACCUGGAAGGGAGAAA